AUCUUGUGAUCCAAUCCAACCAAAUAUCAUUCCACUGACCGGCUUCCUGCCUAUAAAUAGUGUUGCCUCCCCAGCCGUAUGGGCACUAGAAACCCCUUAAGCUGCUAGUCUCGUCUUCUCUGCUCUUCCUACCUUCCUCUAGCUAUAGCAACACCUUGCCCACAUUCCAUGUCUCCAACGGGUGCUUCCGCUCUCAAGGUUGCGGCUAUCGCCGUCUGCCUCGGGCUGGUUCUAUCGUCCAUGAGGCAGCCAGUGUUCGCGCAAACCCAGUCCCAGCAGCAAGCUUGCACCACAACUUGCGCCAGCGCGUGCAAUAUUGUGGCGAAGGCAGCCUGCCCCGGCUUCUGCGCAGGCAACCCAACUCCCACUAAUCCGCUAGCUUGCAACGCCUGCAACACGACGGCCAAUGCAGAUUGCAACAAUCAGUGCGCCCCAGCCUGCUUCCUCAACCCAGAUCCCAACGCUUAAUGUUCAUCAUCCAUGUUCGUGCUGUUGCUUAAGAGCUAAUGUUUACUGAAUAAUUAAGCAUGCCGACUGGGCUGCAUGUAUGUUGUGUUGCUUUCUAUUCUAUUUCCCUUGCAAAUGAUGUAAAGCCGUCGGCCUACUGGCUGGCUGGACUCAUGUAGAAAAUCGCUCCAUGUGAUUGGUGUUCCUUGGGCUUUGUUGAAUUGAAAUCAUGUUGUUAUGUGUUUCAGUAUUAACUUAUCAGCAUCCAUCUCUGUCAAUCUCGAUCACCAUGUUGUGAAAAAGAAGAUUUCCCUCUGCAAAUCUGUGCACACCACAUAAUAUAUAUAUAUAUAUAUAUAUAUAUAUAUAUAUAUAUAUAUUGUUCAUCUUGUUCUAUUAUUUCAUCUUGUUCAGGUCAAUCCAGUAAACUGUACAGUUUGUUACUAUGUUCAAUCGUGUUAUGUGACUAUCAGAAUUAGAAAACAAGCUUCCGAUCAUAUGGAGACAAUUAAAUAUUCCAAGCGAUACAAGCUGCCACUGAUCCAACCCAGAAAUACCACAUUAGGCUUGGUCAUAUAUAUGGCGAUCGAGGUAGAUGAAAAAACGACCCAAGAUUCGAUCAGUCAUAUAGAUGCAAGCUUGCUACUGCAAGCAUUAAUACGAAACAGACUGAAAACUUAUUUAACGGACACUUGAUCUUGUUUUCUUUUCUUUUCCUUUUUCCCUAUACUAUCCUUUAUUCUGUUCUUUAUUCUUCUUCUAAUACCUCUCUAAGUAUUUUUGUCAUGUAUGUAAUCAAUAUCUUUUAAUAAGUAGCAUUCAUCAUUGUUCUUUUAAACGAGUACAUGAUGUUUGUUUUUUCAAUCCUUUUUUAAUACUCUAUUUCAUUUGGUUUUUCCCACGUUACCUAUCCAAUAUUUCUACUUUUUUCUUUUAUUUGGUAUUUCAUAAUUUCUUGACUUAUCCGCUUAUUUCACUUAUUUAUUUAUCUAUUUAUUUACUUAAUUUUAUUCUUGCCUUACUUUAUAUAUUGAAUGUAUCCCUUUAUUUUUUUAAUGUAUUGUAAUAUUUAAGUUGUUCUAUGUUUAAAAUUUUUCCAGCUGCACAAUUCUACAAUUUUGUUCAAAGUGUAUAAUUUUUUAUUCCAUAAUUUCAUCUAAUUUAAUUAAUUCCUUCUCUACAAAUCUUUGUUUCUUGAGUUCACUAUUUUGUUCCAGGUGUAUAAAUGUAUGUUCUGUGUAUAAAUGUACAUUCUGUAAGUCCAUAUAAUUUGUUUCAAUAUACAAAUCUAUGUUUUAUGAGUUCACAUAUCUGUGUAUAAAUGUACAUUUUGUGAGUCCGUAUAAUUUGUUUCGAUAUACAAAUCUAUGUUUUAUGAGUUCACGUAAAUUGUUCCAUAUGUAUAAAUCUUUAUUCUUCAUAUAAUUCGUUCUUGGAGUACAUACCCUAGUUUUGUGAUAUAUGAAAGAAAAUGGAAAGUUACCGAUCAUCACAGUAUACAAACCGAGAGUACGUCUGAAGCUAAGUCCGCAUGAUCGGUAGAAAUCCUUGAAUGAGGUGUGAUCCCCGAUUCUGUAAAUUUUAGCUUACGGCAUUCAUGAGAAGGUCAGAAGUGCUGCAGUCCUAGUUUGGACUUCUGGAUGCGCACUUCGUUGCAUUAUACGACUACUUCAUCGACGUCGAUCGGAUCGACCACUCACGCUUCAUUAAGACUUCCGCUGCGAUGCGAGACGAGCAAAGGUAUAAUCUAUGAUCAUCUUCUCGCAAGUGAUCUUGUUUACGCAGUUAUAUUUUUGUGUGCUAGCGAGUAGCAUACUAAGUUUUCUAACAGAUACUACCUCAUGAAAGCCGUCCAUUUGAGGCCAAAAGGAUUCGAAAUGGAACCUUCCUUUCCCCAGCAAUAAGUCAUUCAGCCCCAAAAUGAGUACUCCAAUUGGCAUCGGUAGGGCCUAUUCCAAUUCAGAAGUCAAGCAGUCACUACCUGCUCCAUUCUGUUCUCUCGGAUUAGUUACUGCAAUGCAAAAGGAUUCAGCAAAGCGAGACUUGACUUUUUCUUUACUAAUGCACCUUCUAAUUUUGCCAGAAAAAAUUAACGACAGAAGCAAUGGGGAUGUGGCUGAUGACCAAUACCAUUGUUACAAGGUAGGGAUUUUGUUACUCUAGUUCGCUGUGAUACCUUUGAAGAAAUUUUGAGCUAGCACUGCCGUAAGUUAUACAUGUGCUUGCGGUUCUUCUAAAUAUCCAGCGAAAUUAAUGAAUAAAUUUGUGGUCAUUAUUACUGAAUCAAAGGGACUGGCCAAAAACUGCAGGAAGAUGUGAACAUCAUGAAGGAUAUUGGAAUGGAUGCGUACAGGUUCUCCAUCUCAUGGACAAGUAUUCUUCCAAGUACUUGAAAUAUCUUCAGAAUGGAUACAAUUGCAACGUCCUCAAAGCCGUGUUCUCUUUUCUGUAUUGUCAAGUAGAAAAUUUUCAUUCUUGAUUCAUGGUUAACAAUAUGAAUGGUCAUUCUACCAAAAUUCGCAGAAUUUUCUUAUUAUAAGCCAACAUACUCCCUCUCUAUUUUUAAAUAUUUGAUGUUAAAGACAUGCUAGAUAGUUCAUAACAUCAUAUCUUUAAGUCUGAUUGGAUGACAGAUGCAAGUUUGAGUGGUGGAGUUAACAGGGAAGGAGUCAAUUAUUACAACAAUUUGAUUAAUGAGCUCUUGUCCAAAGGUAGGUAUUUCAAAUCUUCAGUAUAAUAUAUAUUGAUUCUUUUGCUUUGCAAUAGUUUCAAAGUUGAAUGGAGCACUACAUGUUCAUUGUUAUUCAAGGGGCAUUAUUAUCCACUAGAGAAAUAUUUAUUUGUUUGCAGGUUUGCAGCCAUUUGUGACUAUUUCCACUGGGACUCAUCUCAGGCAUUAGAAGACAAAUACAAAGGGUUUCUUAGUCCUAAUAUAGUGUAAGUCAACUACAUUCAGUUUAGUCCUAAUUUUUUCCUCAAAACUGACGUUAUAAUAACGUGCAUUACUAUACUACUCUGUGAACUAAACGGACUAACAAACAGUAGUUGAGUAUGACAUGAUAAUUUUUUCACAAAUUUUGCAAAAUUUGAGCUGACUGCAGACUUUUCUAUCAUAAACAAACCGUGUCCAGCAUGGAUCCAUGAUUCUGCUUGACUGGACAGGUAUGAGUAGGGGGUUGGUUAUUUUGCUUGUUCGGAUGCUGAUGGGUGCAUAUGCAUCCAUGAUUCUGGAGCCACGCCAAUGGCUAGUUUAUAUAAUUUUAGAGUUGUCCUGAUCUUUAGAUGUGCCAACUUGCAGGCACCAUUCUGAGUUGACAUAUGCAGGGAGGCUAAGCUAGCUUCAGUGGUAAACAAUGUAUGAUGCACUGGCUCAUGAACAGAUUUAUGGGUGAUUUAUUUUCUGAAAAAAAUCUAUAAAUCUGUGCAUGAAGCCAAGCCAAAGUUCAGUGUCAAAUUUAUAUACAUCUAUUUGUUUUUUCCUUCCAUGAUCUUUAAAGAUACUACCAACUUAGAUAUAAACUAUAACCCAGCCAUGAUUGAUGAAGGAAAUCUCUAACCAAAAAAAAGUUUAUAAAACAUCAAACUCAAUAACACAUAGCUCUACGCCGUAAAAGAGCUAUCCUACAGCACCCAAAAAUACUGAAUAAAACACUUAGAUUUACUCAUCAGAUGUCCCAAUUUAGUAAAUCAUGUUUUAGUAAACCUCUUUGUAAAACCAGGUUUUACACGAUCCGACUUUCAUAGUCAACUUCUAGGAAACGUUAUUAUUAAAAAUCUCAGUUUCCAACUCGACAACUUAAAAUGCUGAAGAAUUGUUAUGCAUGGAAUCAAACUUUAUUAUUCCUUUUUUUAACUUGCACAGCUAGCUGACCUACUUGAACCACUUUCACAUCAGUAGUACAAGUACAAUGGAUGGAAAGUGGUACGAGUUCCCAACUCUUUUGAAAUUUCAGAAACAGGUCAAGAGAAAAAGAACGAGAAAUAGGGCGAACAAGUGUGCAAAAUUGUAGGGUAAAUAUUAAAUUAAGACAAUUUCUAUUUUGACUCUGAUGGAGUUGACGAUCUGGGGCAGUAAAUAAAAUAGGUCUAGUACUGGUACGACGCCUUAUUUAUUUGGACCAAACGUCUCAGUUUCUUUCUUUUUUGCAUGCAUCUCUCUCUAUAUAUAUUCUGUACAUGUUACAUGAAGAGAUAAUCUUGUGAUCCAAUCCAACCAAAUAUCAUUCCACUGACCGGCUUCCUGCCUAUAAAUAGUGUUGCCUCCCCAGCCGUAUGGGCACUAGAAACCCCUUAAGCUGCUAGUCUCUUCUUCUCUGCUCUUCCUACCUUCCUCUAGCUAUAGCAACACCUUGCCCACAUUCCAUGUCUCCCACGGGUGCUUCCGCUCUCAAGGUUGCGGCUAUCGCCGUCUGCCUCGGGCUGGUUCUAUCGUCCAUGAGGCAGCCAGUGUUCGCGCAAACCCAGUCCCAGCAGCAAGCUUGCACCACAACUUGCGCCAGCGCGUGCAAUAUUGUGGCGAAGGCAGCCUGCCCCGGCUUCUGCGCAGGCAACCCAACUCCCACUAAUCCGCUAGCUUGCAACGCCUGCAACACGACGGCCAAUGCAGAUUGCAACAAUCAGUGCGCCCCAGCCUGCUUCCUCAACCCAGAUCCCAACGCUUAAUGUUCAUCAUCCAUGUUCGUGCUGUUGCUUAAGAGCUAAUGUUUACUGAAUAAUUAAGCAUGCCGACUGGACUGCAUGUAUGUUGUGUUGCUUUCUAUUCUAUUUCCCUUGCAAAUGAUGUAAAGCCGUCGGCCUACUGGCUGGCUGGACUCAUGUAGAAAAUCGCUCCAUGUGAUUGGUGUUCCUUGGGCUUUGUUGAAUUGAAAUCAUGUUGCUAUGUGUUUCAGUAUUAACUUAUCAGCAUCCAUCUCUGUCAAUCUCGAUCACCAUGUUGUGAAAAAGAAGAUUUCCCUCUGCAAAUCUGUGCACACCACAUAAUAUAUAUAUAUAUAUAUAUAUAUAUAUAUAUAUAUAUAUUGUUCAUCUUGUUCUAUUAUUUCAUCUUGUUCAGGUCAAUCCAGUAAACUGUACAGUUUGUUACUAUGUUCAAUCGUGUUAUGUGACUAUCAGAAUUAGAAAACAAGCUUCCGAUCAUAUGGAGACAAUUAAAUAUUCCAAGCGAUACAAGCUGCCACUGAUCCAACCCAGAAAUACCAUAUUAGGCUUGGUCAUAUAUAUGGCGAUCGAGGUAGAUGAAAAAACGACCCAAGAUUCGAUCAGUCAUAUAGAUGCAAGCUUGCUACUGCAAGCAUUAAUACGAAACAGACUGAAAACUUAUUUAACGGACACUUGAUCUUGUUUUCUUUUCUUUUCCUUUUUCCCUAUACUAUCCUUUAUUCUGUUCUUUAUUCUUCUUCUAAUACCUCUCUAAGUAUUUUUGUCAUGUAUGUAAUCAAUAUCUUUUAAUAAGUAGCAUUCAUCAUUGUUCUUUUAAACGAGUACAUGAUGUUUGUUUUUUCAAUCCUUUUUUAAUACUCUAUUUCAUUUGGUUUUUCCCACGUUACCUAUCCAAUAUUUCUACUUUUUUCUUUUAUUUGGUAUUUCAUAAUUUCUUGACUUAUCCGCUUAUUUCACUUAUUUAUUUAUCUAUUUAUUUACUUAAUUUUAUUCUUGCCUUACUUUAUAUAUUGAAUGUAUCCCUUUAUUUUUUUAAUGUAUUGUAAUAUUUAAGUUGUUCUAUGUUUAAAAUUUUUCCAGCUGCACAAUUCUACAAUUUUGUUCAAAGUGUAUAAUUUUUUAUUCCAUAAUUUCAUCUAAUUUAAUUAAUUCCUUCUCUACAAAUCUUUGUUUCUUGAGUUCACUAUUUUGUUCCAGGUGUAUAAAUGUAUGUUCUGUGUAUAAAUGUACAUUCUGUAAGUCCAUAUAAUUUGUUUCAAUAUACAAAUCUAUGUUUUAUGAGUUCACAUAUCUGUGUAUAAAUGUACAUUUUGUGAGUCCGUAUAAUUUGUUUCGAUAUACAAAUCUAUGUUUUAUGAGUUCACGUAAAUUGUUCCAUAUGUAUAAAUCUUUAUUCUUCAUAUAAUUCGUUCUUGGAGUACAUACCCUAGUUUUGUGAUAUAUGAAAGAAAAUGGAAUGUUACGGAUCAUCACAGUAUACAAACCGAGAGUACGUCUGAAGCUAAGUCCGCAUGAUCGGUAGAAAUCCUUGAAUGAGGUGUGAUCCCCGAUUCUGUAAAUUUUAGCUUACGGCAUUCAUGAGAAGGUCAGAAGUGCUGCAGUCCUAGUUUGGACUUCUGGAUGGAAGCUUCCAUUAUUAUGAUGCUUCUUUCCAAGCAAAUAUUGAUACUUAUCUAGAUCUAAAAAAAAAGAUACUAAUCUAUGGUUUUCACAAGUUGACUGCACACUUUUCACAAGGUUUUUGAAUUUGACCGUUGGCAAAUUUGGUUUGUUUCUAAUCUUCUCCCUAAUUUCUUUUGAUUUGCACUCUUAAACACUAGGAUGUCACAGUGUCGCUCGGUUGCGCACUUCGUUGCAUUAUACGACUACUUCAUCGACGUCGAUCGGAUCGACCACUCACGCUUCAUUAAGACUUCCGCUGCGAUGCGAGACGAGCAAAGGUAUAAUCUAUGAUCAUCUUCUCGCAAGUGAUCUUGUUUACGCAGUUAUAUUUUUGUGUGCUAGCGAGUAGCAUACUAAGUUUUCUAACAGAUACUACCUCAUGAAAGCCGUCCAUUUGAGGCCAAAAGGAUUCGAAAUGGAACCUUCCUUUCCCCAGCAAUAAGUCAUUCAGCCCCAAAAUGAGUACUCCAAUUGGCAUCGGUAGAGCCUAUGUACUCCAAUUCAGAAGUCAAGCAGUCACUACCUGCUCCAUUCUGUUCUCUCGGAUUAGUUACUGCAAUGCAAAAGGAUUCAGCAAAGCGAGACUUGACUUUUUCUUUACUAAUGCACCUUCUAAUUUUGCCAGAAAAAAUUAACGACAGAAGCAAUGGGGAUGUGGCUGAUGACCAAUACCAUUGUUACAAGGUAGGGAUUUUGUUACUCUAGUUCGCUGUGAUACCUUUGAAGAAAUUUUGAGCUAGCACUGCCGUAAGUUAUACAUGUGCUUGCGGUUCUUCUAAAUAUCCAACGAAAUUAAUGAAUAAAUUUGUGGUCAUUAUUACUGAAUCAAAGGGACUGGCCAAAAACUGCAGGAAGAUGUGAACAUCAUGAAGGAUAUUGGAAUGGAUGCGUACAGGUUCUCCAUCUCAUGGACAAGUAUUCUUCCAAGUACUUGAAAUAUCUUCAGAAUGGAUACAAUUGCAACGUCCUCAAAGCCGUGUUCUCUUUUCUGUAUUAUCAAGUAGAAAAUUUUCAUUCUUGAUUCAUGGUUAACAAUAUGAAUGGUCAUUCUACCAAAAUUCGCAGAAUUUUCUUAUUAUAAGCCAACAUACUCCCUCUUUGUUUUUAAAUAUCUGAUGUUAAAGACAUGCUAGAUAGUUCAUAACAUCAUAUAUUUAAGUCUGAUUGGAUGACAGAUGCAAGUUUGAGUGGUGGAGUUAACAGGGAAGGAGUCAAUUAUUACAACAAUUUGAUUAAUGAGCUCUUGUCCAAAGGUAGGUAUUUCAAAUCUUCAGUAUAAUAUAUAUUGAUUCUUUUGCUUUGCAAUAGUUUCAAAGUUGAAUGGAGCACUACAUGUUCAUUGUUAUUCAAGGGGCAUUAUUAUCCACUAGAGAAAUAUUUAUUUGUUUGCAGGUUUGCAGCCAUUUGUGACUAUUUCCACUGGGACUCAUCUCAGGCAUUAGAAGACAAAUACAAAGGGUUUCUUAGUCCUAAUAUAGUGUAAGUCAACUACAUUCAGUUUAGUCCUAAUUUUUUCCUCAAAACUGACGUUAUAAUAACGUGCAUUACUAUACUACUCUGUGAACUAAACGGACUAACAAACAGUAGUCGAGUAUGACAUGACAAUUUCUAUUUUGACUCUGAUGGAGUUGACGAUGUGGGGCAGUAAAUAAAAUAGGUCUAGUACUGGUACGACGCCUUAUUUAUUUGGACCAAACGUCUUAGUUUCUUUCUUUUUUGCAUGCAUCUCUCUCUAUAUAUUCUGUACAUGUUACAUGAAGAAAUAAUCUUGUGAUCCAAUCUGACCAAAUAUCAUUCCACUGACCGGCUUCCUACCUAUAAAUAGUGUUGCCUCCCCAGCCGUAUAGGCACCACAAACCCCUUAAGCUGCUAGUCUCGUCUUCUCUGCUCUUCCUACCUUCCUCUAGCUAUAGCAACACCUUGCCCACAUUCGAUGUCUCCCACGGGUGCUUCCGCUCUCAAGGUUGCGGCUAUCGCCGUCUGCCUCGGGCUGGUUCUGUUGUCCAUGAGGCAGCCAGUGUUCGCGCAAACCCAGUCCCAGCAGCAAGCUUGCACCACAACUUGCGCCAGCGCGUGCAAUAUUGUGGCGAAGGCAGCCUGCCCCGGCUUCUGCGCAGGCAACCCAACUCCCACUAAUCCGCUAGCUUGCAACGCCUGCAACACGACGGCCAAUGCAGAUUGCAACAAUCAGUGCGCCCCCGCCUGCUUCCUCAACCCAGAUCCCAACGCUUAAUGUUUAUCAUCCAUGUCCGUGCUGUUGCUUAAGAGCUAAUGUUUACUGAAUAAUUAAGCAUGCCGACUGGGCUGCAUGUAUGUUGUGUUGCUUUCUGUUCUAUUUCCCUUGCAAAUGAUGUAAAGCCGUCGGCGUACUGGCUGGCUGGCUCAUGUAGAAAAUCGCUUUAUGUGAUUGGUGUUCCUGGGCUUUGAUGAAUUGAAAUCAUAUUGCUAUGUGUUUCAGUAUUAA
RNAcentral lists this long non-coding RNA (9232 nucleotides) under Setaria viridis. Its description in RNAcentral is "long non-coding RNA (SVIR_LNC003361)". The record is from RNAcentral. Lineage: Eukaryota; Viridiplantae; Streptophyta; Magnoliopsida; Poales; Poaceae.